UUAAUUAACGGAUUAAAAUAAGGCGGCUGAGCCCAGUAGUUCACGUUGGAAUAAUGAUUAGUGAUAAUAACAGUAGUUGAUAAUGUGAAUAAUAAUUGAGCAAAAAUAAUAAAAUAAUAAAAAACUAAAAAAAAAAUAAUGUGAUUCAAAAGAUUAGGAUUAUCCAAAAAAAAAUAUCUGGCGAGAAGACUUUUGAGCCGCAACUUUCGUUCUGACAAGACAUGUCACCUUAUUAAAAUCAAGACACAAAGAAAACAGUGAAAUCACCUAAUAAAUUACAUCAGCAAAAACGUAAGUGAAAAUUUCCAUUUUUUUAAUCUUGAUUUAAAGAAAAUAAAUCACUGAAAGUUUGAAUUUCGUUGUUAUUGCCUUUGAGUCUUCGUUUCCUUAACAUUGGCAAAACCAGAAAGAAACCAUCAAAGCCUUGACUUGACUCUGGAUUCAUAAAAAAUUUCUGAAAUUGUUGAAAAAAAAAACACUGGUCCUUUGAAUUUGAAUGCUCCAAAUUACCCAUUAAGACAAGUUUCACUUUUUUCAUAAAAGCAAAGAAGAAUUAUGAGAAAAAUACAAUAACAAAUUAGCAAUUACUUUUCUUUCUCAAAGGGUGGUGUUUGAU
This 616-nucleotide long non-coding RNA is filed under the name Phaseolus vulgaris (common bean). Its description in RNAcentral is "long non-coding RNA (PVUL_LNC003214)". Lineage: Eukaryota; Viridiplantae; Streptophyta; Magnoliopsida; Fabales; Fabaceae. The record is from RNAcentral.